This 496-nucleotide ribosomal RNA is filed under the name uncultured bacterium. RNAcentral's name for it is "partial 16S ribosomal RNA". It matches the Rfam family "Bacterial small subunit ribosomal RNA", at positions 28 to 506 of the family's 1533-position model. The record is from RNAcentral.
GAUGAACGCUAGCGGCGUGCCUAAUACAUGCAAGUCGAGCGAACAGACGAGGGGCUUGCUCCUCUGACGUUAGCGGCGGACGGGUGAGUAACACGUGGAUAACCUACCUAUAAGACUGGGAUAACUUCGGGAAACCGGAGCUAAUACCGGAUAAUAUAUUGAACCGCAUGGUUCAAUAGUGAAAGACGGUUUUGCUGUCACUUAUAGAUGGAUCCGCGCCGCAUUAGCUAGUUGGUAAGGUAACGGCUUACCAAGGCAACGAUGCGUAGCCGACCUGAGAGGGUGAUCGGCCACACGGGAACUGAGACACGGUCCAGACCCCUACGGGAGGCAGCAGUAGGGAAUCUGCCGCAAUGGGCGAAAGCCUGACGGAGCAACGCCGCGUGAGUGAUGAAGGUCUUCGGAUCGUAAAACUCUGUUAUGAGGGAAGAACAAAUGUGUAAGUAACUAUGCACGUCUUGACGGUACCUAAUCAGAAAGCCACGGCUAACUACGU